UAUAUUAGAAGGGUGGGGGGGGGGGAUAAUAAAAGGUAAGGAGGUGUUCAAGUAAAAGGAGUAAAUACGUAUUUCCCAAUUGGCCAUUAGCUCCUCCCCCAUUGCAGGACCCACCCACACUGGCCCCACCCCCUGCAGAUCAGCGCAAGCCAGCAGCACUUGAAGGGCUAUUUUUUGCCCAGCUUCACUAAAUAAGGCCAGGCAGAGUAGGGGAGUGGGUGCAGGGCCAGGGGGGCUCCUCUUUGCUUUGACCCUCGGAGUAUAAAAGCUUUGGAGCAGUGGGAGGCUCCUCUGACCAGCCCCUCUGCACACUCCCCGCCUGACCCGUCCAAACGUUCGGCAUAAAACAUGUUUGAAGUCAACAUUAUGACAUUUAAGUAUUUUUUAAGCUAACAUUUGUUGUUUUCGGUGACGUGGAGGCAUAUCGGUGACGUCAUUUUUCCCCUUAAUGGCUGCCGUCUCUCAAGUGAUAGGACAAGGACAUUUAUUGGACAAAGUAUGGACAGAACUGUCAGACAGGAUGGAAUACACAAUGAGGACAAAUGAGAAGAACGAGAAAAAAAAACUGAGACAGCCUCAACUCUAGCGCUUUUUUCUGAUGUUUUCUUUCACUCUUAACCUCAUCUCAACUUCAUUCUUGCUCUGUCUUUCUCACUCUUUUUCUGUCUCUCUCUCCGAGCGCCUGUCUCUCAUUUAGUGCUGUCAGCAUACUGUCCAUACUUUCUCCAGCUCACGUUUUCGCUGGUAUUGGGAAGUAGCUCUUUACAUAGCAGGACAGGUGGGGAGUUGUUACCGUAGGUUUUGGGGCCAUUUUAUCUGACCUAGACAUUUUCGUCCAAUUUUUUUGAUAAUUCGCUCUUCUGUUAGUGCUGAGAACACUCCGGUAUUGAUGACAACGCUCUGCAUUUCUCUUCAUCCCCAUCACUUUCUCAUCUGUCCAAACCCCCCCCCCCCCUUUCUCUCGUUCUCAUCCUCAAAUUCUCAUGCGCUGAAUCAGCUGCUUGGGAACGGACGCUCCCCCUGCCUCUUGGAUCCACAAACAAGCUUCCUCACCCCGGCUAAUGGCAGCAAACUUCCCUAAUGGCAAAAUUAUUAGCUCAUGCUAAUUUAAAGAUCCAGGAAAGGAGCCUGAAGGACAAACAUAAAGAACUGAACACAAUGAGUUGGCCUAAACUGCAAAGAGCUGCCUUGUAAAAGCACAGACUUCAGACAGAAUGAGAAAACAGACAGAGAGAGCUUAAAAGCCAACGAGGGAGAAUGAGACAUAAAAAAGACAAAGAGAGACAAAGGAAGAGUGGACAGUGAGGGGGGUAAAUGGGAGUUAAUUCUAGCAGUGUGUUGUCUUCUGGCUUCAUUAGCCGUAUUGACAGGCCUGUGAUGAAUUCAUCUUCUCAAGAUUGUCUGCAGUCAUCAUUUACACGGAUGCUUCUGUCAUCAGUGGUAACUCCUGUUUUCCUCUUCAACCUCUUCAGUUCAAUUUCUGCCCUUUCUCUAUCAACAACGAUGCAUCCACUUCCAUUCUAUAAUCGUAAAACACCUGAUCCUGACUGCAUUCAUUCGCAUUUGCUUGUGUUGUCUAAACUGAUACUGGCUGUAAUAGACUCUCAAGCUGUGGUGUCAAACUUAUUCUAGGUCCCAAGUCUGGACUAUUGCAUUUUUCUACUCUAGAAACAUUUUCACAUGAUGCUAAUGCAAAUUAAAGACAGAAAAAUAACUUUUUAAACACAAUGCAAAGUUCAGAAUCACUUCAUGCUGCUUUAAUAAAGAAAAGGGAGAUGAUUAAAGAUACAAAUUCCACUUGCUAGAAUAUAUUUUUCACUGUAUAUACAAGAAAAAGGUUAUUGACUGAAUGACUUUAGCCAGCCAAAUCUGUACAUUAACGCAAAAUUAGCUAAAAAAAAAGGAAAGGUUUCUCAAUCAGACUCGGACAACAUUUAAUCAGUAUUAAAGUGCAAUACUAUUUAUUUUAUUAGACUUAAUUGUUAUUUAGCUUUUAUUUUAUUCAGUUUAUUUUAACUGUUUAUGUUUUAGUCCUUUUGUGAAAUGUGUUUGUAAUUUUUUUACUUCAAUUUGUUUAUUACUUUUUUUUAAGAUUUAUAAAUGUAUAAAUGUAUUUAUACAUUUUAUUGUAGAAGGACAUUAUUUAGAUGUUGAAGAGAAGAAGAGAACUGGGGGGCUAAUGGGAAACCUCCAUGCAAUGGCAUUAUAUGUCUGUAUUUUGUAAUUUUAAUUCACCGAAUAGUUUUCUUUGCACCCAUAUUGUACCUGCUGUGGGUGAGUCUGUGAGGAGGGUGAACUGCAUUGCUCUGGACACCUGUGUCACCCAGAGAUCCAGUUUCAGCUGAAAAGUACAAAUGGGUGUAUAUAGUAUGCCCAAGUGGCAUAUUCUGCACCAAAGCACUUACUGUAAAUUAUAACUAACUGUAACUAAUUUAAGUUGCUUUUUUUGCAUUCAUAUUAUCCCAGCUGGCCCUAUUAGACACCUCCUCAUCCUGCCUGUGUGUUUGACACCUCUGCUCUAUACUUUUUCUGGAGUAUUUUUAAUUGAUUUUCUUUUAAGAAAAAAAAUCCACUCAACUUUCCUGUUCUUCUUCUACAGGUUCAACGAUAUCCUUCUCCUGUCCUGAGCUUGGGAUUCUGGCGCACACCGAAGUCUUGUCCUAAAAUGCUUUGCUAAAGCUGGUAAAAUGGAACCAAAUCAACUGUUUUAUGGAUUUGGUCCCCUUCAACCAGCUGUAGCUGUGCAUUGAUCACCCCGUAGAGCUGUGAUGAAGAAAGAGAGGUGUUCAAAGGCACAACGCACAAUAUUUGACUUCCUGUGAAGUUCACAGUGCAGGACCAGCUGUUGAAUGCUUGUUCCUUUAAGUACUAAUAUCAUGAUUAAACACUCUUUGUCCUCUUAAAGCCCAGGUUAGUAUUAUAUAUGUCAUGUCACUUAUUAUUUAUGUGCUAUAAUUGUUGAUUAUGUAUUCAAGCCAAUUCACUAUCAUUGGAAAGAGGGCUCUGGGCUCUUUAUGGACGCCCAUUGAUUUUUUGUCUCUCAGCUGAAAGAGUGAGGAGAUGGGGGGAUGAGCUGGGCUGGAUGGAUGUAGGGAACGAGGGAGUGGGUGUGUGUCAAGCUGUUGAAUAAGUAAAACAGUCGUUCCUUGUCUCUCUCUUUUCCUUCUACACUUGUCGUGAUUCUUAAUGUACAUGGCUGAUCAAUAAAAGCUCAUCCUGAAGUUCAUAAACUGC
Carassius auratus (goldfish) is the source of this 3234-nucleotide long non-coding RNA. RefSeq lists it as uncharacterized. The record is from RefSeq and is a predicted model, not a curated record. NCBI's taxonomy places the organism in Eukaryota, Metazoa, Chordata, Actinopteri, Cypriniformes, Cyprinidae. The transcript has 2 exons.